UCCGUGCCAGCGGCCGCGGUAAUACGGAGGGUGCAAGCGUUAUUCGGAAUCACUGGGCGUAAAGGACGCGUAGGCGGGUUGGAAAGUCAGAUGUGAAAUCCUACAGCUUAACUGUAGAACUGCAUUUGAAACUUCUAAUCUAGAGUAUGGGAGGGGGAGAUGGAAUUAGUGGUGUAGGGGUAAAAUCCGUAGAUAUCACUAGGAAUACCGAAAGCGAAGGCGAUCUCCUGGAACAUAACUGACGCUAAGGCGUGAAAGCGUGGGGAGCAAACAGGAUUAGAUACCCUGGUAGUCCACGCCCUAAACGAUGAACACUAGUCGUCGGGAUGCUAGUCAUCUCGGUGAUGCACUUAACAGAUUAAGUGUUCCGCCUGGGGAGUACGGUCGCAAGAUUAAAACUCAAAGGAAUAGACGGGGACCCGCACAAGUGGUGGAGCAUGUGGUUUAAUUCGAAGAUACGCGAAGAACCUUACCUAGCCUUGACAUUGAUUGAACCUGCCAGAGAUGGCGGGGUGCCCUUCGGGGAACAUGAAAACAGGUGCUGCACGGCUGUCGUCAGCUCGUGUCGUGAGAUGUUGGGUUAAGUCCCGCAACGAGCGCAACCCUCGUCCUUAGUUGCUAGCAGGUUAAGCUGAGCACUCUAAGGAGACUGCCUUCGUAGGGAGGAGGAAGGUGAGGACGACGUCAAGUCAUCAUGGCCCUUAUGGCUAGGGCUACACACGUGCUACAAUGGGGCGUACAGAGUGUUGCGAUACCGCGAGGUGGAGCUAAUCACUUAAAGCGUCUCUCAGUUCGGAUUGGAGUCUGCAACUCGACUCCAUGAAGCUGGAAUCACUAGUAAUCGUAGAUCAGCAAUGCUACGGUGAAUACGUUCCCGGGUCUUGCACACACCGCCCGUC
RNAcentral lists this ribosomal RNA (899 nucleotides) under uncultured Campylobacterota bacterium. RNAcentral's name for it is "bacterial SSU rRNA". It matches the Rfam family "Bacterial small subunit ribosomal RNA", at positions 502 to 1398 of the family's 1533-position model. The record is from RNAcentral. Lineage: Bacteria; Pseudomonadati; Campylobacterota.